AUUGAACGCUGGCGGCAUGCUUUACACAUGCAAGUCGAACGGCAGCGCGGGCUUCGGCCUGGCGGCGAGUGGCGAACGGGUGAGUAAUGCAUCGGAACGUGCCCAGUAGUGGGGGAUAGCCCGGCGAAAGCCGGAUUAAUACCGCAUACGACCUGAGGGUGAAAGCGGGGGUCCGAAAGGCCUCGCGCUAUUGGAGCGGCCGAUGUCGGAUUAGCUAGUUGGUGGGGUAAAGGCUUACCAAGGCGACGAUCCGUAGCUGGUCUGAGAGGACGACCAGCCACACUGGGACUGAGACACGGCCCAGACUCCUACGGGAGGCAGCAGUGGGGAAUUUUGGACAAUGGGGGCAACCCUGAUCCAGCAAUGCCGCGUGCGGGAAGAAGGCCUUCGGGUUGUAAACCGCUUUUGUUCGGGAAGAAAUCCUCUGGGCUAAUACCCCGGGGGGAUGACGGUACCGGAAGAAUAAGCACCGGCUAACUACGUG
Molecule: ribosomal RNA, 484 nt
Filed under: uncultured bacterium
Lineage: Bacteria
Description: partial 16S ribosomal RNA
Rfam family: Bacterial small subunit ribosomal RNA
Source: RNAcentral